GCGCCCGUAGCUCAGCGGAUAAGAGCAAAGAGCUUCUACCUCUUGGGUCGGGGGUUCGAUUCCCUCCGGGCGCA
RNAcentral lists this transfer RNA (74 nucleotides) under Armatimonadota bacterium. It matches the Rfam family "tRNA". From Rfam's summary of the family: Transfer RNA (tRNA) molecules are approximately 80 nucleotides in length. Their secondary structure includes four short double-helical elements and three loops (D, anti-codon, and T loops). Further hydrogen bonds mediate the characteristic L-shaped molecular structure. tRNAs have two regions of fundamental functional importance: the anti-codon, which is responsible for specific mRNA codon recognition, and the 3' end, to which the tRNAs corresponding amino acid is attached (by aminoacyl-tRNA synthetases). tRNAs cope with the degeneracy of the genetic code in two manners: having more than one tRNA (with a specific anti-codon) for a particular amino acid; and 'wobble' base-pairing, i.e. permitting non-standard base-pairing at the 3rd anti-codon position. The record is from Rfam by way of RNAcentral. Lineage: Bacteria; Bacillati; Armatimonadota.